RNAcentral lists this ribosomal RNA (490 nucleotides) under uncultured bacterium. RNAcentral's name for it is "partial 16S ribosomal RNA". It matches the Rfam family "Bacterial small subunit ribosomal RNA", at positions 30 to 507 of the family's 1533-position model. The record is from RNAcentral.
AUUGAACGCUGGCGGCAGGCCUAACACAUGCAAGUCGAACGGUAACAGGAAGCAGCUUGCUGCUUCGCUGACGAGUGGCGGACGGGUGAGUAAUGUCUGGGAAGCUGCCUGAUGGAGGGGGAUAACUACUGGAAACGGUAGCUAAUACCGCAUAAUGUCGCAAGACCAAAGAGGGGGACCUUCGGGCCUCUUGCCAUCGGAUGUGCCCAGAUGGGAUUAGCUUGUUGGUGGGGUAACGGCUCACCAAGGCGACGAUCCCUAGCUGGUCUGAGAGGAUGACCAGCCACACUGGAAGUGAGACACGGUCCAGACUCCUACGGGAGGCAGCAGUGGGGAAUAUUGCACAAUGGGCGCAAGCCUGAUGCAGCCAUGCCGCGUGUAUGAAGAAGGCCUUCGGGUUGUAAAGUACUUUCAGCGGGGAGGAAGGGAGUAAAGUUAAUACCUUUGCUCAUUGACGUUACCCGCAGAAGAAGCACCGGCUAACUCCGUG